RNAcentral lists this long non-coding RNA (870 nucleotides) under Phoenix dactylifera (date palm). RNAcentral's name for it is "long non-coding RNA (PDAC_LNC006728)". The record is from RNAcentral. Lineage: Eukaryota; Viridiplantae; Streptophyta; Magnoliopsida; Arecales; Arecaceae.
UCUCCGGACCAUCAUCCACCUUCGAAUCACCUCCCCUGUUCCCAACUGAAACCAACCUCCCGUGUGCAUCCAAAGAUCCUCUGUUCUCAGCCGUAUCCCUCUACCAAACUCAGGAUCCGAUCUUACCUCCCAGCUCAUGGAUUCGUCUCCUCUUCCGGCUUGAUCCCAGCUCCUCCCAGCCGAGAUCCCAACAUCCAAGUUCAUCCUCUGCAUCUAGUUCGCAUCUUUCUUAACUUCCGGAUCAUUUCACGUCCACAGAUCCAUCGUUCCCAAGCUUCCUUUCUUCCGGAUUGAGUCCAUCGACACGGGAUAAACUCCAAAUCCUUAUCCAAACAGCAUCCCAUCCGAGAUUCUCCCGAGCUUCAUGGAUCACGGAUCAUCACCUUCUUCUGCAUCCUCCACGCGUCCGGAUCAACUCCAUCCAGCAGCAUGCCUUCCGCGUCCUUAUCUUCUCACUCACACGUGAAGCAAAACAGGGGAGGUGGGCAGCCUAUAAAAGGAACCAGGACGUGAAGGGUGGGGGGCAUUCCUACUCACCGAAUAAUCAAUCAUCGUGUUCCCAGGUGGAGUUCCCACAGAAGUCCAAAAGGGAGAGGAAACCGACGGGAGGAAGGAGCCAAUCAUCAUGAAGUCCUCCUGCAGUGCAGCUGUUCAACUCUUCAUGGAAGGCUAAUCUUUUCACUGGGGCUGGAUGCAGCCCUAACAAAAGGCCAAGGAUUUUAUGUUUUUGAUUUCUAUUCUUGGAGUUGUAUAAACUUUAUUUCGUUCUUAAUGAAUAUUUUAUUUCAUCCCAUAUUUAAUUUCUGUGAUUUUAAGUAUGAUGUUUAUACAACUGUUUUUCAUGAUCACUAAGUAAAUAUAAGAUAGUCC